RNAcentral lists this ribosomal RNA (253 nucleotides) under uncultured bacterium. Its description in RNAcentral is "partial 16S ribosomal RNA". It matches the Rfam family "Bacterial small subunit ribosomal RNA", at positions 524 to 776 of the family's 1533-position model. The record is from RNAcentral.
UACGGAGGGUGCAAGCGUUGAUCGGAAUUACUGGGCGUAAAGCGCACGCAGGCGGUCUGUCAAGUCGGAUGUGAAAUCCCCGGGCUCGACCUGGGAACUGCAUCCGAAACUGGCAGGCUUGAGUCUCGUAGAGGGGGGUAGAAUUCCAGGUGUAGCGGUGAAAUGCGUAGAGAUCUGGAGGAAUACCGGUGGCGAAGGCGGCCCCCCGGACGAAGACUGACGCUCAGGUGCGAAAGCGUGGGGGGCAAACAGG